Cyprinus carpio (common carp) is the source of this 181-nucleotide long non-coding RNA. RefSeq lists it as uncharacterized. The record is from RefSeq and is a predicted model, not a curated record. NCBI's taxonomy places the organism in Eukaryota, Metazoa, Chordata, Actinopteri, Cypriniformes, Cyprinidae. The transcript has 4 exons.
CCAGACGCUUCCGGGUAGUCGUGCGGUGUACUACCGAAGGUCUCGGGCAAGGCACCUGCCGGGUAGCUGUACCACCAUUAAGACGCAAUAUCUAAAAGUUAUUUUGCUGUGGCCUCUGAAUAGUGCCCCUGUCGGACCAAUGUGAGUAUUAAAGCAGCUGUUCAUAGGAGAGGUUCCUGGG